RNAcentral lists this ribosomal RNA (465 nucleotides) under uncultured bacterium. RNAcentral's name for it is "bacterial SSU rRNA". It matches the Rfam family "Bacterial small subunit ribosomal RNA", at positions 338 to 795 of the family's 1533-position model. The record is from RNAcentral.
CCUACGGGUGGCUGCAGUGGGGAAUAUUGGACAAUGGGCGCAAGCCUGAUCCAGCCAUACCGCGUGGGUGAAGAAGGCCUUCGGGUUGUAAAGCCCUUUUGUUGGGAAAGAAAAGCAGUCGAUUAAUACUCGGUUGUUCUGACGGUACCCAAAGAAUAAGCACCGGCUAACUUCGUGCCAGCAGCCGCGGUAAUACGAAGGGUGCAAGCGUUACUCGGAAUUACUGGGCGUAAAGCGUGCGUAGGUGGUUGUUUAAGUCUGUUGUGAAAGCCCUGGGCUCAACCUGGGAAUUGCAGUGGAUACUGGGCGACUAGAGUGUGGUAGAGGGUAGUGGAAUUCCCGGUGUAGCAGUGAAAUGCGUAGAGAUCGGGAGGAACAUCCAUGGCGAAGGCAGCUACCUGGACCAACACUGACACUGAGGCACGAAAGCGUGGGGAGCAAACAGGAUUAGAUACCCAAGUAGUC